UAUUAGAAUAAAACUAAAUGAAUAAUCAUAUUUUCCAAAAUCAACAAAAGAAGUUCAAGAGAUAAAGAGAGCAGAAAGUUCAAAAAAAUCAGAUCCGAGAUUUAUUUGUUUACUUUAAACUUGUUAUUGUGAUAAUUAGAGAGGAGAAAUGAUUGACUCAAACAUGGAAGAAAACUCAUUAUUUACAAGCUUUGUCUAACUUCUCUAGCUCAAUUGCAUCUUCACAAAACAAUUUACCAAGGUCGAUAGUUGGUAAAGUGGUUGUUGUUGAUACAAGAACAAGGUCUUGAUUUAGUGGAAGAUAUGUGGAACUUUUCUUUGCCAACUUUUACCAAUUAUCGACCUAUUUGUUCACAACCUUCAUGGGUCAAUUUCCAUCCUUACUCUCUCUUAUUUGUUUACUUAAACUUGUUGUUAUUGUGAUAAUUUUGGGGGUAUUUAUUUGUGUCAAUUUACUUUAUAAGUUAGUAGAUUAAUGUUUCUCAUAUUUAAAUGAAUGUUCUUUUUUCAAGUUUGAAGAUAGAGGUAGGAGUUGGUAUGAAUUUCUAUUAUUUAAUCCAAAAUAUUUUUGAAAAAAAUGGAAGGUGGGUUUGACAUAUUGAUGCUUGAUGGAGGUUUGUGAGGAAGAGAGGAGAAAGAAGAUGAAGAUUUGUUUUUGUUCAUUUUUAUUGUAUUUGUUUUUAUUUAGGAAAUUUUAGUUUUUACUGUCAUUUUAAUUCUUGUAUAGGUGUCACUGAAAAUUACCACAUCUUGGUUCAAUGUGUCCAAAUUUGGGGACAGAUCUUAAAAACAAACAGAAAGAUAACGUCAGUGAUCAUUCUGACUAACGGAAGUUUGAUUCAGGGACUUUUAAAUAUUUUUUGUUGUUUCAGGGACUGUUAGGACAACGAGUGACACUUUCAGGGACGAAAGUGACUGUUUACUCGAUUAAAGAUUAUCAAGGGCAAACUCACUAUGAAGAAGAUAAAAUUGAGCAGGUUUUCAUUGACCACUUCCAACACCUCUUUUCCCACCAGGACACUAAAGACAUCCAGGAGGCAGUGAAAGUAGUAUAGAAGGUAAGAUUACACAGGAUAUGCAUCAGCUCUUGAAUGAAAGUUAUACAAAGGAAAAGGUGUAUCUAGCAAUGAAAGACUUAAAACCUCUGGCUGCCCUUGGACCUGAUGGGCUUCCUGCCCAGUUCUACCACAAUUAUUGGGAUAUUAUUGGCAUUGAUAUCCUCCAUAUAGGGCUAAACAUUCUCAACAAUCAAGGAGACCCUAGCUGUAAGACCCGUAAUUUCACAGUUUAUUUUGUGUAAGGAAAAUAAAUAUUGGAUAAAAGUUUUAAGGUUUUUGUUUAAGUCGUUUUGUAAGUAUCGU
This 1361-nucleotide long non-coding RNA is filed under the name Trifolium pratense (red clover). Its description in RNAcentral is "long non-coding RNA (TPRA_LNC011487)". The record is from RNAcentral. Lineage: Eukaryota; Viridiplantae; Streptophyta; Magnoliopsida; Fabales; Fabaceae.